Molecule: non-coding RNA, 3334 nt
Organism: Physcomitrium patens
Lineage: Eukaryota; Viridiplantae; Streptophyta; Bryopsida; Funariales; Funariaceae
Source: RefSeq, a predicted model, not a curated record
GAUUCAUGACUUGAAAGAAGCAGAAGAUGAGAGACAUGAUGUUGUUGUGGAUUGUGAACAUAGCAUACCAAUCUGGGUUAAAACCCCCACCACAGCCUCAAUUGUCUGCAGGAUCGACCCUUCCAAGCUUUCCUGACUUUACCAGUUCUGUUCAGAUAGUUUAUACGUCUGCAUCGAUGUUUGUCCCAGUCCGACGGUAAAAAAUGAAGUUUGUUCUGGCGAGGCAGUACUUGCACAAUUCUUCUUCAGCGAAACCCUUCUACGCAGUUGCUCACCGUCGUGUACUCAAUGUCGUCAAUCAGGCCAGGUGACCAUGUUCCGAGAGCAGAAUGAGCUGCUCCCACGAGAUUCAGUCUUUUCCGUCGCGGUAAUAGCUAAAGCGGAACCGCCCACCAUUCUGAAAUCCAUCUUUGCUCGAGCGUAACUUGCAGGACGUCACUUCGAGGAAGAUCUCCUCAGCAGAACUUAGACUGCCGUUCUCUGUGACGUGAAAUUUUGACCUAUCUCCGAGAAAUUCUGGAUGCAUGCCAAGGAUUAGUAGACUGAAAUCGCCCUGUGCUGCUAUUUCAUAUCUACUCAGACUUUCGCAGACAAGAAAUACAGGAAUCAGAGCCUGAUGGUAAGAGCCAGAAUUCACGCACCCUUCACCGACAAGUUGCAUCGUCGAAACGUCAACCCUAGGAAUAUUUUCGUAGCCGUCAGGUAAAUGUACGAGCUAUAGUUGUAUCGGAGAGAGGGAUCAUGGUACACCUGUGCAGAUAACCACAUCCAAGCUCAUCACGUCGGUCACAGAAGCUGAAGAGUCGAAAGAACUUGCAACCAAGAUUCAGUCCCAUAGUCUGUCAGGUGAAGAGCAUCAAUCAUCAGAAGCAUCGUGGAGGGACGAUUUCUCUACAGUCGCACGUUGAACAGUCAGUUGAACAGUCGUACUAAAGAAAGCUUAUUAUAAUCCCCUCUUCGUCUGGGCAACUUCACGAGUCAGUGCUAUGUCAUCGACCCCACUACACAGUGUCUCAGUCGGACCGCGAAUAUGGUUCAGGUGCUCAUCCCAUCUACAAUGUGUGGGAAUGUCAGCGGAUGCAAGUAGACAGAAUAGGGUUAUUUCCUGCUUUUCUUUGGGAAUUGAGUGCGAAAGUUUUACAUCUGUCACGUCGUAACCUCGUGCGCUCACCAGUGGCGAUGCGGUAAGAAAAUCGCCGUCAUAGAUUUGUUUUUGAAGGAAAUACCCCACCCUUGUGUGUGGAAUUUCUUCAGGGCUCCCGGAGGCAUGAGUGAGGAUCAAUCGUGAAACUGCGAAAGUGGCAACCAGACAGGGCACCUUGAUGUGGGUGACAUCACACGCCCAGAUCGCCGUAAAUCUUUUUCCCAACAUUGGCCAACGACCCUCGUUCAUGAUUACCCCGGCUUUCCUGGCGAUAAUUCUUGAUUUUUUUCGGGUCCUGGAUCUUUGAGAGCGAGCACCGAGAAAAAAAAUGAAAUAAAAUAUUAAAAAACGAUGGACCUGGUCUCUACGGGUCCCUUGCGACAAAAUAUUUGUGGCGAAGGGCUUUAUCGGAUCUGUAGCUUCAGGAACACACAUGCCUUAUGGCAACAAGAUGACGCUUCGGGUUCCUCGGGUGCCUGUCUCAGCGCACAAACCUCACAGCCUUUCCGACAGAAAUCGAUAAGGUUGAAUUUCGUGACAGCUGUGGUGAGAAUAUUUGGGGCAGAAAGUGAAUUCGGUGGCCUACAGCCAAUUGUCCACACGAGUCAGCAGGAGAUUGCACGGAGCAGCUUUGCACCGCCAGACACUUUUUAUUUUUUAUUUUUAUUUUUAUUUUUUCCCUUAAAAUCAGAUCGGAAAAGAAUGCAUACCACUGCUGCGCGAAAGCAAGUGGAUCUCAGAAUCCGACAAACGCUGCACAGAAAGUCGAUACGCUGUUGGGUACCGGGUCAUAUAAUUUGUCUCUUGAUUUCACGUGGAGGUUUGUCAAAUUUAUGCAAUUGCAUUGAGACAUCAGUGGUGUUGGCUGAAGUUGUUCUGUAUGAUAUUAAGAUUACGUUGUUUCAUAUUUCGAUAUAUGUUUUUUGAAGUCAUUCCUUGUUCUUAUUUCUCUUUGUCAAGAGCAAGACAUGAGGGUUCUGUUAAGUGCUCAUUGGAUUGCGAAAGGGAGAAUUAAGUACGAGUUUACUUUUUAACGGUUUUCUUUUAUCUGUCUGGUUGGACAGAUGUUUCGGAGUAGAAUACUAAUUCCGGUAGAUUUGUUGAACUCUUAUCUGAAACAAGGAGGAUACGUUUGUAGACACUUCUAUUUUGGAACAUAAUUCAUUGUUGAGAUAAUAGUUACCAAAUAUAUACAUUAAUGAUUUCAUUUUCAAAACAGAAUAUCAUAAUCAGUGAAUAUGUGAGAAAAAGUUGGUCAUAUCAAAAAUGGACAUGAACAUGAAUUAACUAGAAUGUUGUUUCAGUGAAACAUUUCGUUCUUCUACCACAUGAUUGUAAUCAUCUAUCGUUCUAUUACGAGAAACACAUUGAAAAGAGUGCAAACAAUUCUGUUCAAGUACAAAAAGUUCAAGAGGACCAUCAAACCACCUUCCAGAUAAGAAAGCAAACCAAGUAUGAGAUGUGGUGAACAGUUUUUUUGGCUCUUCCUUUGGCUAUGAGUAAUAAUUGCUGGCAAGCUAUGUCUACAAAAAAAAUAGUUACUUUUAAAAGCACUAUUUCUAUGGAGAAUCAAGUUAGUGUUAUGCAGGACAGGUUCAUGAUUACAAUGGCCGCAGAAUUGGUGGGUAAAGAGGCACUAACUACAGUUGUCACAGGUGGAAGCGGUUAAUCGUGGAGGAUACAACUUACGAUUUAUCAUGAAGGAAAACAUGAGUCGAGGACCAACACAGAAACGAUGGACUAGGACGAGGACAUGCGGGCAGAAUCAAACCCCUCCCAUAAGACCAACAGUUUCCCGCUCCGUCCUUAUCGGCAUUUAAUAAGUCGGCAAUUAUGGACUAUCCUGAGAUAUCAGUAUUGGGAAUACCCAUCCCUACAUACACACUUUUUUUUUUCUGGAGAAGCGUGUAGCUGCAACAUCGUCAAACGCAUUAUGUGGAGAUUCUGGUCCGUAUUGACAAGUUAUGACAGUUUGUUGGGUGUUGCAUUGCAAAGUGAGCACGUGCAGAUCAAACAAUAAGAUGUAUUUCAAAUGUCAUGAGCUGGAACGGUUUAAACGACUGAGCAGAAUUCAUCAGGACUAACCUGAAAGACAAUAUGCUAGCUUCUGAUCUCAUAGACGUAAUCAUUGGAAUGAGGAUGACACAUGUUAAUUGGAAAGAUUACAUCAAACAUGAAGUUUGAAUGGGA